RNAcentral lists this ribosomal RNA (301 nucleotides) under uncultured bacterium. RNAcentral describes it as "partial 16S ribosomal RNA". It matches the Rfam family "Bacterial small subunit ribosomal RNA", at positions 509 to 807 of the family's 1533-position model. The record is from RNAcentral.
CAGCAGCCACGGGAAUACAGAGGGUGCAAGCGUUAAUCGGAAUUACUGGGCGUAAAGCGCGCGUAGGUGGUUUGUUAAGUUGGAUGUGAAAUCCCCGGGCUCAACCUGGGAUCUGCAUCCAAAACUGGCAAGCUAGAGUAUGGUAGAGGGUGGUGGAAUUUCCUGUGUAGCGGUGAAAUGCGUAGAUAUAGGAAGGAACACCAGUGGCGAAGGCGACCACCUGGACUGAUACUGACACUGAGGUGCGAAAGCGUGGGGAGCAAACAGGAUUAGAUACCCCUGUAGUCCCUGUCUCUUAUAC